GCCGAAGUGGCGGAAUAGGCAGACGCGCAUGAUUCAGGGUCAUGUGGGCUUUAUGCUCGUGGGAGUUCAAGUCUCCCCUUCGGCAUCA
Molecule: transfer RNA, 88 nt
Filed under: Candidatus Entotheonella gemina
Lineage: Bacteria; Pseudomonadati; Candidatus Tectimicrobiota; Candidatus Entotheonellia; Candidatus Entotheonellales; Candidatus Entotheonellaceae
Also listed under: 1 other name
Description: tRNA-Leu
Rfam family: tRNA
About the family: Transfer RNA (tRNA) molecules are approximately 80 nucleotides in length. Their secondary structure includes four short double-helical elements and three loops (D, anti-codon, and T loops). Further hydrogen bonds mediate the characteristic L-shaped molecular structure. tRNAs have two regions of fundamental functional importance: the anti-codon, which is responsible for specific mRNA codon recognition, and the 3' end, to which the tRNAs corresponding amino acid is attached (by aminoacyl-tRNA synthetases). tRNAs cope with the degeneracy of the genetic code in two manners: having more than one tRNA (with a specific anti-codon) for a particular amino acid; and 'wobble' base-pairing, i.e. permitting non-standard base-pairing at the 3rd anti-codon position.
Source: RNAcentral